CCCACUCUCUAUUUUAUGUAAGUCUCUUUUGUCUGGAGGCGAGAAUAUGUUGGAUUCAGAGUAGCUGGAGGUCUGUGCGCCCCUCAUCCAGUUCCCUACCUUUCCGCCUUCACAGCGAUCCCUUACCCCCAUCUUACCCUUAUCUUCCGGACCGACAGAUCCUGAGGGUCCUGAGGAGCCUAAGCCGCAGUGAGUGAGCGAUCCUCUCCGUUACCCCCAUCUUACCCUCAUCUUCCGGACGGACCGAUCCUGAGGGUCCUGAGGAGUCUAAGCCGCAAUGAGUGAGUUUGGCCGCCACUGUUGGAGUCCAACUCUCGUAGUGAGAUGAAGGAUGCGACAUUUUCCAUUUGGCUGGCUGGUCGCAGAAGAGAGUUCAGCUAGAUUGGAGAGGAGCACUCUGGUGCAGACACAGAGCACUUUGGGAGAUUUCAGCGGAAUUACACCAGAAGCCCUCUUUCCGAGGCAAGAAGAAUAUUUUCCAUUUGGCUGGCUGGUGGCAGAAGAAGAGUUUUCAGAGGAUAAAGCUACGAGUGGAGAGUUCAGUGGACAACCAGAUUCAUCUUCAUCUCACACCACUGUGGUAGGUGGCUGGGCUCCUGCACGCCCCCCACUGAGACCAAGCUGGUCUGAAAGACUCACCAGAAAGCUAGCCGAGCCCCAGGUGAAGGAGACAAGAGAUUUAUUCCAUCUCUGUGCUGGUUGGAGGCAGAAGAAAGCAGAGGCAGAGGCAAAAGGACAGAACCUUUGGAUUUGGAGAUAUUUGGAGGGCUCUAAGCUAAACCGGCUGUGUUUUGAGAAGAACAAGAACUCCAACAUUUGAACUCCCAACAUUUUGGCAGUCAGAAAAGUCCUGUUUAUGGACUCUUCGAAGUUUAUUGGUCAGAGAGACAAAUACAUAUAGCUCAAAUGCUCAUAGGUUUGAUAAGAAGUGCACUCUUUUUUUUUUUUCUACACAUAAACUUAAGUUUACCCUUCCCCAAGUACAUACAUAUAUACACACAAACACACACACAUUUUCAGUGAAACUAUAGAUCUUCAGUAGAACUUUGAAGAGCUUCCACAUAUGGGAAACACAUGAGCAUUUGCAUAUAAGAUAUAUACCCGUGAACACAUUAUCAAGUCACAUGUAUUGAAGAGCACUUAUGUCUUUCUAUUGAUAUCAUCACCCUGCUCUUUAGUAAAUACAUUCCUUGUCUAGUGCUGCUCAAGAAGUGCACUCUUUUAAAAUUCCUGUAGCCUAACAAAAUCUACUAUGAUGUAAAUGAUUAAACCACUUAAGCCCUAAGAGAUGUAAAUAGUUGAGAU
Antechinus flavipes (yellow-footed antechinus) is the source of this 1305-nucleotide long non-coding RNA. RefSeq lists it as uncharacterized. NCBI's taxonomy places the organism in Eukaryota, Metazoa, Chordata, Mammalia, Dasyuromorphia, Dasyuridae. The transcript has 3 exons. The record is from RefSeq and is a predicted model, not a curated record.